Molecule: long non-coding RNA, 1135 nt
Organism: Ornithodoros turicata
Lineage: Eukaryota; Metazoa; Arthropoda; Arachnida; Ixodida; Argasidae
Exons: 3
Source: RefSeq, a predicted model, not a curated record
UCCCGAUUCGGACGACCAUGAAACGACCCGACCACUCACUGGUCGUCGCAUCCGCCAACGCGCUGUGCACGGCCCCCGGCACACUCACGACCCGCCGCUACCUUUCUGCAUGUCGACGCUCACUCGCUGCCGGCCGCGACACCAGAGCAACAUGCCCGCCUGCCGGUUUCAGCAGUCGCGGCAGCCGACGCCACGGCACGCUUCAGCCGGCGUCUCGGCAGUCAACACGGCUAACGCAGCCUCAAUUCCUGGGACCCUCCGAUCUCGCGCUCCCGUGCCGGUUGCGGCACCCCAGGCCACGACUCUGACGCCCAACGAGUUCGCCCCUCAUCUGACCCGCUCAUCGACAGCUUCUCGCUGCGGGUAUUGGGCCGUACCACGAACACGUCCAGUAGUGUACGUCAUCCACGGUCGCUCUUGCUCUCUCCCUCCUGUGUCGACGUGGUUCUUCGUUGUUCCUUGUCGGCGCUCCGCGUCUGAAGGGGGAGCACGUAGCGGGCUGUGGAAAUACGACGAAGAUAGCCACGCGCCUGGAGCAUCGGUCCUCAGUUCCACCGGCGCGGCCAUGGAGAUAGGCCACCGUCAUCGCCUCUCCGUGGCAUACCAUUAUUGCCGGUGGCAAUCCACAGGUCUUGGGUUUCGUGAAUGCUUAUACUGAAUGUGGCAACUGCACCAUCGCCAUGUUACCUACAAUUCACCCGGACGCCUGUGCAUUGUUCGUGAAUAACCCGGACGUCCAUCCGAGUCGCUGCUGUCUCUUUGCAUAUGCGCUCUUCUGUGGAAGCACCAAGAUCCCAAGUUACGAAAAGGACAAAUGCGCCAAUGUGUAAACCAUUACUUUGCCUAUAAGCUGUUCACGGUGUUUGGCCUGUGUGAAGCCUAAGCUUCGAGCUGCCAAUAAAUCACGUGUCUUCAGAAUGCUACCUAAAGCAUGUAUAAUCAUAAAUAUAUUAUACAACUGGCUUACAUCACAUUAGUCUGGCCUCGGUUGGAGUAUGCCUCUGCCGUAUGGGAUCCAUCUACUGCUUACCGUGUACGCGACCUCGAAGCCGUUCAAAACCGCGCAACCAGGUUCAUCACUAGUAACUAUUCACCAUAUGCAAGUAUCUCUUCAUUAAAAAGACGUGGCCGAACG